This is a long non-coding RNA of Prionailurus viverrinus (fishing cat), 245 nucleotides long. RefSeq lists it as uncharacterized. The record is from RefSeq and is a predicted model, not a curated record. Lineage: Eukaryota; Metazoa; Chordata; Mammalia; Carnivora; Felidae. The transcript has 3 exons.
GUGUGAGGAGUCUGGAACUCUGUUGACAGCAGUGCAAGAUGACAGAGCCUGGGCCAGCCUCCUGUCCUCUCCAGUUGUACUUCUGCAGGGUCUCUUUAAAGAAGUAAUCUUUCCCUAACUACCCAUGGAGUUGGGCAUCAGUGGAAGAGGUUCUUGAACUUCAAGUGGACUGCAGUAUGCUGCUCACUGACUUGGAUUCUCGCAGCACAGAAACCUGUACCGCAGCCUCCACAGCACAAGGUACC